GCUGAUAUGGCUCAGUUGGUAGAGCGCACCCUUUGUAAUUGUUAGUUCCCCAGUGCCACUCUGGAUCUCAGCU
RNAcentral lists this transfer RNA (73 nucleotides) under Escherichia coli. RNAcentral's name for it is "tRNA-Thr". It matches the Rfam family "tRNA". Rfam says of the family: Transfer RNA (tRNA) molecules are approximately 80 nucleotides in length. Their secondary structure includes four short double-helical elements and three loops (D, anti-codon, and T loops). Further hydrogen bonds mediate the characteristic L-shaped molecular structure. tRNAs have two regions of fundamental functional importance: the anti-codon, which is responsible for specific mRNA codon recognition, and the 3' end, to which the tRNAs corresponding amino acid is attached (by aminoacyl-tRNA synthetases). tRNAs cope with the degeneracy of the genetic code in two manners: having more than one tRNA (with a specific anti-codon) for a particular amino acid; and 'wobble' base-pairing, i.e. permitting non-standard base-pairing at the 3rd anti-codon position. The record is from RNAcentral. Lineage: Bacteria; Pseudomonadati; Pseudomonadota; Gammaproteobacteria; Enterobacterales; Enterobacteriaceae.